GGAUCCCUUCAGACCUCCGAAGUUAAGCGGCGCAAGGCCCGGUUAGUACUUGGGUGGGGGACUCCCAGGGAAUACCCUCGGGUGCUGACAGCUUU
This 95-nucleotide ribosomal RNA is filed under the name Toxoplasma gondii. The record is from RNAcentral. Lineage: Eukaryota; Apicomplexa; Conoidasida; Eucoccidiorida; Sarcocystidae.